AGUGAACGCUGGCGGUAGGCCUAACACAUGCAAGUCGAACGGCAGCACAGUAAGAGCUUGCUCUUACGGGUGGCGAGUGGCGGACGGGUGAGGAAUACAUCGGAAUCUACUUUUUCGUGGGGGAUAACGUAGGGAAACUUACGCUAAUACCGCAUACGACCUACGGGUGAAAGCAGGGGAUCUUCGGACCUUGCGCGAUUGAAUGAGCCGAUGUCGGAUUAGCUAGUUGGCGGGGUAAAGGCCCACCAAGGCGACGAUCCGUAGCUGGUCUGAGAGGAUGAUCAGCCCCACUGGAACUGAGCCACGGUCCAGACCCCGACGGGAGGCAGCAGGGGGGAAUAUUGGGCAAUGGGCGGAAGCCUGCUCCAGCCAUACCGCGUGGGUGAAGAAGGCCUUCGGGUUUGAAAACCCUUUUGUUGGGGAAGAAAAGCAGCAGGUUAAUACCCCGCUGUUCUGACGGUACCCAAAAAAUAAGCACCGGCUAACUUCGUG
This 492-nucleotide ribosomal RNA is filed under the name uncultured bacterium. RNAcentral describes it as "partial 16S ribosomal RNA". It matches the Rfam family "Bacterial small subunit ribosomal RNA", at positions 29 to 507 of the family's 1533-position model. The record is from RNAcentral.